This 449-nucleotide ribosomal RNA is filed under the name uncultured bacterium. RNAcentral describes it as "partial 16S ribosomal RNA". It matches the Rfam family "Bacterial small subunit ribosomal RNA", at positions 29 to 523 of the family's 1533-position model. The record is from RNAcentral.
AACGAACGCUGGCGGCAUGCCUAACACAUGCAAGUCGAACGAGAUCUUCGGGUCUAAUGGCGCACGGGUGCGUAACGCGUGGGAAUCUGCCCUUUGGUUCGGAAUAACAGUUGGAAACGACUGCUAAUACCGGAUGAUGACGAAAGUCCAAAGAUUUAUCGCCAGAGGAUGAGCCCGUGUAGGAUUAGCUAGUUGGUGUGGUAAAGGCGCACCAAGGCGACGAUCCUUAGCUGGUCUGAGAGGAUGAUCAGCCACACUGGGACUGAGACACGGCCCAGACUCCUACGGGAGGCAGCAGUGGGGAAUAUUGGACAAUGGGCGAAAGCCUGAUCCAGCAAUGCCGCGUGAGUGAUGAAGGCCUUAGGGUUGUAAAGCUCUUUUACCCGGGAUGAUAAUGACAGUACCGGGAGAAUAAGCUCCGGCUAACUCCGUGCCAGCCGCCGCAGUAA